UACGGAGGGAGCUAGCGUUGUUCGGAAUUACUGGGCGUAAAGAGCUCGUAGGCGGUUUGUCGCGUCUGCCGUGAAAGUCCGGGGCUCAACUCCGGAUCUGCGGUGGGUACGGGCAGACUAGAGUGAUGUAGGGGAGACUGGAAUUCCUGGUGUAGCGGUGAAAUGCGCAGAUAUCAGGAGGAACGCCGAUGGCGAAGGCAGGUCUCUGGGCAUUAACCGACGCUGAGGAGCGAAAGCAUGGGGAGCGAACGGG
Molecule: ribosomal RNA, 253 nt
Filed under: uncultured bacterium
Lineage: Bacteria
Description: partial 16S ribosomal RNA
Rfam family: Bacterial small subunit ribosomal RNA
Source: RNAcentral